GAUGAACGCUGGCGGCGUGCUUAACACAUGCAAGUCGAACGGAAAGGCUCCUGCUUGCAGGGGUACUCGAGUGGCGAACGGGUGAGUAACACGUGGGUGAUCUGCCCUGCACUUCGGGAUAAGCCUGGGAAACUGGGUCUAAUACCGGAUAGGACGAUGGUUUGGAUGCCAUUGUGGAAAGUUUUUCGGUGUGGGAUGAGCUCGCGGCCUAUCAGCUUGUUGGUGGGGUAAUGGCCUACCAAGGCGUCGACGGGUAGCCGGCCUGAGAGGGUGUACGGCCCCAUUGGGACUGGGGAACGGCCCAGCCUCCUAGGGAGGCAGCAGUGGGGAAUAUUGCACAAUGGGCGCAAGCCUGAUGCAGCGACGCCGCGUGGGGGAUGACGGCCUUCGGGUUGUAAACUCCUUUCGCUAGGGACGAAGCGCAAGUGACGGUACCUGGAGAAGAAGCACCGGCUAACUACGUG
RNAcentral lists this ribosomal RNA (464 nucleotides) under uncultured bacterium. RNAcentral's name for it is "partial 16S ribosomal RNA". It matches the Rfam family "Bacterial small subunit ribosomal RNA", at positions 28 to 507 of the family's 1533-position model. The record is from RNAcentral.